UACGUAGGUGGCAAGCGUUAUCCGGAAUUAUUGGGCGUAAAGAGCGCGCAGGUGGUUAAUUAAGUCUGAUGUGAAAGCCCACGGCUUAACCGUGGAGGGUCAUUGGAAACUGGUUGACUUGAGUGCAGAUGAGGGAAGUGGAAUUCCAUGUGUAGCGGUGAAAUGCGUAGAGAUAUGGAGGAACACCAGUGGCGAAGGCGGCUUCCUGGUCUGCAACUGACACUGAGGCGCGAAAGCGUGGGGAGCAAACAGG
This 253-nucleotide ribosomal RNA is filed under the name uncultured bacterium. RNAcentral describes it as "partial 16S ribosomal RNA". It matches the Rfam family "Bacterial small subunit ribosomal RNA", at positions 524 to 776 of the family's 1533-position model. The record is from RNAcentral.